This 369-nucleotide unclassified non-coding RNA is filed under the name Hevea brasiliensis (rubber tree). Lineage: Eukaryota; Viridiplantae; Streptophyta; Magnoliopsida; Malpighiales; Euphorbiaceae. The record is from RNAcentral.
UAGCAGGAAAUCACUCGACAACUUGGGAGAGGAGAGAUAGAGCCCAAGACAUCUUAAUCUACUCUAGCCAUGGAGCACUAGCAACAACAACUAAAAUGCAGGCUCUUGACCAUCGGAGACGUCUCCCUUUGGAUUUGCUUCCAAUGUCGAAACUUGCACCCAACCACGUCAUACCCAAAAAACCAAAGAACAUGGAUUACCAAAUUUAGAAUCCCUCUCAUAAAGCUCUAGAUCUGCACAACCAAAAUAAAGAGGUCAAAAGAAAUAUCUAUUGUAAAGUAUAGAUCAACCUUGUCAUUUACUGUUGUUAAAUGAUAAUAUAUAUACACGGACUGUGGAGGUGGUAGACCUAUACCCAACCUCAUCUAG